Camellia sinensis is the source of this 579-nucleotide non-coding RNA. Lineage: Eukaryota; Viridiplantae; Streptophyta; Magnoliopsida; Ericales; Theaceae. The record is from RefSeq and is a predicted model, not a curated record.
AAUCGUCAUCUUCUCUCUUCCGGAGAUGGGAGAUUCACAGAUUCAGAGAUGAGAGCCACUGUAUGUAUAGAUAUACAUUUGUGUGUAUUAUAUACAUAAUUUUAUUCACAGAUUCGGAGGAUGAGGAGAGCCCUAGCCUCCAAGAUAUACUCUGGAUUGAGAGCUCAGGGCAAUUACAACCUACCCAAGUAGCGUGACAACAACGAGCCAUCGAAAUCGAAGUUGGGUUGAUGUUUAUCAGAUUGAUACAGAGGAAUUAACGAUGUUGACAUGCCCAAUAGCCACUGCACCCACUUCGUCUUUCCUCUUUGCCAGCUGUUAGGUGAUGGAAUAUACAAGUGGGUGACAUGGAUUGCACAACUGGGAGACAACGCGUAUCUAACUUAAAAAGCAUUUUCUUUUUACUGUCAUUCCUUCUUUAAAUACUAUAAAUGCACACAUAUGUAUGCGUAUAAUGUAAUGGAUAGAAUGAAUUUAUUUAACGUGAAUAGAUCAAAUGGUUCCAUUUGAUUGAUAUUUGUUUGUGAGAUUUUAAUUCCCUUUGAAAGAUCAAUUGGAUUUGCAAAUGGAUCUUUUGAU